Molecule: ribosomal RNA, 492 nt
Filed under: uncultured bacterium
Lineage: Bacteria
Description: partial 16S ribosomal RNA
Rfam family: Bacterial small subunit ribosomal RNA
Source: RNAcentral
AGUGAACGCUGGCGGUAGGCCUAACACAUGCAAGUCGAACGGCAGCACAGUAAGAGCUUGCUCUUACGGGUGGCGAGUGGCGGACGGGUGAGGAAUACAUCGGAAUCUACUUUUUCGUGGGGGAUAACGUAGGGAAACUUACGCUAAUACCGCAUACGACCUACGGGUGAAAGCACGGGAUCUUCGGACCUUGCGCGAUUGAAUGAGCCGAUGUCGGAUUAGCUAGUUGGCGGGGUAAAGGCCCACCAAGGCGACGAUCCGUAGCUGGUCUGAGAGGAUGAUCAGCCACACUGGAACUGAGACACGGUCCAGACUCCUACGGGAGGCAGCAGUGGGGAAUAUUGGACAAUGGGCGCAAGCCUGAUCCAGCCAUACCGCGUGGGUGAAGAAGGCCUUCGGAUUGUAAAGCCCUUUUGUUGGGAAAGAAAAGCAGCAGGUUAAUACCCCGCUGUUCUGACGGUACCCAAAGAAUAAGCACCGGCUAACUUCGUG